UAGGGAAUCUUCCACAAUGGACGAAAGUCUGAUGGAGCAACGCCGCGUGAGUGAAGAAGGGUUUCGGCUCGUAAAGCUCUGUUGGUAGUGAAGAAAGAUAGAGGUAGUAACNGGCCUUUAUUGACGGUAAUUACUUAGAAAGUCACGGCUAACUACGUGCC
This 161-nucleotide ribosomal RNA is filed under the name uncultured bacterium. RNAcentral's name for it is "partial 16S ribosomal RNA". It matches the Rfam family "Bacterial small subunit ribosomal RNA", at positions 355 to 509 of the family's 1533-position model. The record is from RNAcentral.